AUUAUACUCCCUCCGUCCCAAAAUUCUUGUCUUGUAUUUGCCUAGAUAUGGAUGUAUCUAAUACUAAAUCUUGACUUGAUACAUCCAUAGUUAGACAAAUCUAAGACAAGAAUUUUGGGACGGAGGGAGUAUGAG
Triticum aestivum (bread wheat) is the source of this 135-nucleotide non-coding RNA. Lineage: Eukaryota; Viridiplantae; Streptophyta; Magnoliopsida; Poales; Poaceae. The record is from Rfam.